CCUACGGGAGGCAGCAGUGGGGAAUAUUGCACAAUGGGGGAAACCCUGAUGCAGCGACGCCGCGUGAGUGAAGAAGUAUCUCGGUACGUAAAGCUCUAUCAGCAGGGAAGAAAAUGACGGUACCUGACUAAGAAGCCCCGGCUAACUACGUGCCAGCAGCCGCGGUAAUACGUAGGGGCAAGGGUUUAUCCGGAUUUACUGGGUGUAAGGGGAGCGAAGACGGAAGAAAAAGUUUGAGGUGAAUUCCCGGGGCUUAACCCCGGAACUGCUUUGGAAACUGUGCGGCUGGAGUGCAGGAGGGGUAAGCGGAAUUCCUAGUGUAGCGGUGAAAUGCGUAGAUAUUAGGAGGAACACCGGUGGCGAAGGCGGCUUACUGGACUGUAACUGACGUUGAGGCUCGAAAGCGUGGGGAGCAAACAGGAUUAGAUACCCCUGUAGUC
RNAcentral lists this ribosomal RNA (440 nucleotides) under uncultured bacterium. RNAcentral's name for it is "partial 16S ribosomal RNA". It matches the Rfam family "Bacterial small subunit ribosomal RNA", at positions 338 to 795 of the family's 1533-position model. The record is from RNAcentral.